UUCAGUUUUGCUGGAUGGGUAGGGGAGCGUCGUUCACGAGGUGAAGCCAGCGGGUAACUUCUGGUGGAUUGUGGACGAGUGAGAAUGCAGGCAUGAGUAGCGAAAGACGGGUGAGAAACCCGUCCGCCGGAUGACUAAGGGUUCCAGGGUCAAGCUAAUCUGCCCUGGGUAAGUCGGGACCUAAGGCGAGGCCGACAGGCGUAGUCGAUGGACAACGGGUUGAUAUUCCCGUACCAGUGAAGAACCGCCCAUGCUGAGCCGGUGAUACUAACCGCCCGAACCA
Molecule: ribosomal RNA, 283 nt
Filed under: Xanthomonas citri pv. citri
Lineage: Bacteria; Pseudomonadati; Pseudomonadota; Gammaproteobacteria; Lysobacterales; Lysobacteraceae
Description: partial 23S ribosomal RNA
Rfam family: Bacterial large subunit ribosomal RNA
Source: RNAcentral